GACGAACGCUGGCGGCGUGCUUAACACAUGCAAGUCGAACGGAAAGGCCCUGCUUUUGUGGGGUGCUCGAGUGGCGAACGGGUGAGUAACACGUGAGUAACCUGCCCUUGACUUUGGGAUAACUUCAGGAAACUGGGGCUAAUACCGGAUAGGAGCUCCUGCUGCAUGGUGGGGGUUGGAAAGUUUCGGCGGUUGGGGAUGGAUUCGCGGCUUAUCAGCUUGUUGGUGGGGUAGUGGCUUACCAAGGCUUUGACGGGUAGCCGGCCUGAGAGGGCGACCGGCCACAUUGGGACUGAGAUACGGCCCAGACUCCUACGGGAGGCAGCAGUGGGGAAUAUUGCACAAUGGGCGGAAGCCUGAUGCAGCAACGCCGCGUGCGGGAUGACGGCCUUCGGGUUGUAAACCGCUUUCGCCUGUGACGAAGCGUGAGUGACGGUAAUGGGUAAAGAAGCACCGGCUAACUACGUGCCAGCAGCCGCGGUGAUACGUAGGGUGCGAGCGUUGUCCGGAUUUAUUGGGCGUAAAGGGCUCGUAGGUGGUUGAUCGCGUCGGAAGUGUAAUCUUGGGGCUUAACCCUGAGCGUGCUUUCGAUACGGGUUGACUUGAGGAAGGUAGGGGAGAAUGGAAUUCCUGGUGGAGCGGUGGAAUGCGCAGAUAUCAGGAGGAACACCAGUGGCGAAGGCGGUUCUCUGGGCCUUUCCUGACGCUGAGGAGCGAAAGCGUGGGGAGCGAACAGGCUUAGAUACCCUGGUAGUCCACGCUGUAAACGGUGGGUACUAGGUGUGGGGUCCAUUCCACGGGUUCCGUGCCGUAGCUAACGCUUUAAGUACCCCGCCUGGGGAGUACGGCCGCAAGGCUAAAACUCAAAGGAAUUGACGGGGCCCCGCACAAGCGGCGGAGCAUGCGGAUUAAUUCGAUGCAACGCGUAGAACCUUACCUGGGUUUGACAUGGAUCGGGAGCGCUCAGAGAUGGGUGUGCCUCUUUUGGGGUCGGUUCACAGGUGGUGCAUGGCUGUCGUCAGCUCGUGUCGUGAGAUGUUGGGUUAAGUCCCGCAACGAGCGCAACCCUUGUUCACUGUUGCCAGCACGUUAUGGUGGGGACUCAGUGGAGACCGCCGGGGUCAACUCGGAGGAAGGUGGGGAUGACGUCAAGUCAUCAUGCCCCUUAUGUCCAGGGCUUCACGCAUGCUACAAUGGCUGGUACAGAGAGUGGCGAGCCUGUGAGGGUGAGCGAAUCUCGGAAAGCCGGUCUCAGUUCGGAUUGGGGUCUGCAACUCGACCUCAUGAAGUCGGAGUCGCUAGUAAUCGCAGAUCAGCAACGCUGCGGUGAAUACGUUCCCGGG
This 1343-nucleotide ribosomal RNA is filed under the name uncultured bacterium. RNAcentral describes it as "16S ribosomal RNA". It matches the Rfam family "Bacterial small subunit ribosomal RNA", at positions 28 to 1378 of the family's 1533-position model. The record is from RNAcentral.